GCUGUCGUCAGCUCGUGUUGUGAAAUGUUGGGUUAAGUCCCGCAACGAGCGCAACCCUUAUCCUUUGUUGCCAGCGAUUAGGUCGGGAACUCAAAGGAGACUGCCAGUGAUAAACUGGAGGAAGGUGGGGAUGACGUCAAGUCAUCAUGGCCCUUACGACCAGGGCUACACACGUGCUACAAUGGCGCAUACAAAGAGAAGCGACCUCGCGAGAGCAAGCGGACCUCAUAAAGUGCGUCGUAGUCCGGAUUGGAGUCUGCAACUCGACUCCAUGAAGUCGGAAUCGCUAGUAAUCGUGGAUCAGAAUGCCACGGUGAAUACGUUCCCGGGCCUUGUACACACCGCCCGUCACACCAUGGGAGUGGGUUGCAAAAGAAGUAGGUAGCUUAACCUUCGGGAGGGC
This 403-nucleotide ribosomal RNA is filed under the name Salmonella enterica. RNAcentral's name for it is "bacterial SSU rRNA". It matches the Rfam family "Bacterial small subunit ribosomal RNA", at positions 1048 to 1451 of the family's 1533-position model. The record is from RNAcentral. Lineage: Bacteria; Pseudomonadati; Pseudomonadota; Gammaproteobacteria; Enterobacterales; Enterobacteriaceae.